Canis lupus familiaris (dog) is the source of this 2568-nucleotide long non-coding RNA. RefSeq lists it as uncharacterized. The record is from RefSeq and is a predicted model, not a curated record. NCBI's taxonomy places the organism in Eukaryota, Metazoa, Chordata, Mammalia, Carnivora, Canidae. The transcript has 4 exons.
CAAUCAGCAGGGCCACCUCCCACCUCCUCCCCCCACCCCCAGUCUCAGGCCAGGCAGAACUUUUUAGCUAACCGGUUCACACUCAAACAAGUUUCCAGCUUUUGGUACAGGCUUCCCCCACCCCUGGGGUGAUGGGGGCUCAUGUCCAGCCCUCUCCCUCCGUCCCAAGGCCAGGAUCUUCAUUCCCUGGGACCCUUCUAAGGUCCCAUAUCGUCUGAGGUUCUAGUCAGGGGCAGGUUCAGGGUCUGUCCCUUGGGCACGCUGUACCCACAGUUCCUGCUCCACAGCCUGGAUUGAGGGGCAGCUAUGUCCUGUAUCAGGACGGUGCAGCAGGUGGCGGCUACAGGGCAUCAGGCUCGUCAGGUUAAUCGAUCCUUAUCCAUGACCACGAGGCCGACCUUUCUACUCACUGCUGCGUAUCGCAAGGUCUGGUGUUACCUACCUGAGUGCCUCCAGGUCUCCUCUCCGGGACAGAUGUGCAGCAACGUGUGUCUCUUAUACUUGAGUGUUAGGAACUCCCAUCACAGUUGCCUAAGUACCCUGAGGUUUCACUUCUAUCAGGAGACAACACCCCGCCUACAGGAGGAUGACAAAUGCUCACCUCACACACCUGCAUGUUACGAAGUUGCAACUCCUGCAAGAGUGAGGACAUCACGUCUCCACCGCAUGGAGGGCGAUCUCCCCUCCUCUCCCUGAGUGCCGAAGGCCUCAUCUCUACCACCUGAGUGUCACUUUGGGGUGUCUUCUCUACCCGAGAACCCAGAGUCUUCUACCCCCUACCUGAAGGCCAGGAGGUGCAUCUCACCUAGUGCGCCGCGAUUUCAUCAGCCAUACUGAGGAGCCAGGAAGCCUCCCUCCCCACCUAAAAGUAUGAGCUUUUAGCAUCUCUACCUGAAUAUCACACGGUCUCCUUUACUGGCUAAGUGUCUGACUGUGGUUUCCGUCUCACUGCUGAGGGUCUUGGGGUCGCAUCUCCCCUACCCGAGGGUAAUGAAAUCUCCUAUCUCCCAUUCGAGUAUAACCGGGUCUUCUGUGCUCUCCCUGAGUGUCAGGAGAUCUGGUCUCUCGUGUCUUCUGCUAGAUCUGGAGCCUCCAUCUCUUCUCUCUUCAUGACCGAGGGGUCUCCUCUCCCCUAUUUGAGUGUGACAAGGUCUUAUGGUCCCUACCUGCAGAUCAGGUGUUUCCAUCUCUUCCACUUAAUUGUCGGACCUCUCAUCUCCUCUACACAACUGUCCCCAAAUCUGCUGUUUGGGGACAGCAGAUUUGUUGUAAUAGGAGAGGUGUGGGAGUGCUGACUGGCUGCCUGCUAAGGUAACCAAAAAGGCUUUGGAAUCACACUUCAAGAAACGACAACAGGAAUUCAAGAUGGAACCAUUAGAGUUUUGAUUGUGUAAGAAAACACCUAUUCAGGAGUUUUUACAGGAUUCUGAUGGGCACAAAAUUGAUAUGGUAUUUAGGUCCAUGAGAAUCAUUUAGCAGAAUGAUGUAAACAUUUAUUUUGAUGCCAAUAUGUACAAUUUUCCAGAAAUCACAACCUUGGCAAGUAUUUAAACAUGAUGAAGAUGUUAGUCAUAAACUUCAAGAUGAAAAGUAGUACCUGGUUUUUCAAAACACUUAGAGUCACUCAUAACAAAGUUGAAGACCCAAGGUCUAGAUUCUAGAAGACAACUACUGUGUGACUUCACAGAGUAACACUCACUUCUGAUUCUAGAAGGGGCCGCCAGUCACAGCACCUGCCCCAUGGCCACAGGAAUGGCUGGAGGGAUAGGCAGGUGGCCCACCCAGGUUAAUUUUGUCAUUAACCCUAAUGGAGGAAGCAAACAUCUGAAAUGAGUGACGUCAUCUGGCUUCUACACUCUGUUCCAAAGCACAGGGGAGAGAGGAGGGUACCAGACAGGACCCUGAGGCCAGAGGACACGGUCCCAACGGCUACCGGGGGCUUGACUCUGGCCAAGCUAGGGCUCCCAGCUCCCCAGAUGAUGGGUUCCCCAGCCCCAGCCCCUUCCACCUCCCUCCCUCCCUGCCCUCCUGCAUUCCCACUCUCAUGUCCUCAGGCUUACCCCAGCCUGCUUCCUGCUCCUUGCCUCCGAGCCCCUAUCCUGCCCCCACAACGUGAUCCUGCAUCCCGAUCCCUAGCCCCCUCAGGCUCCCCAGGGAUGCCCUCUGCAGAGCGGACACCAAGGUGUCCACAGGUCCUCGGACAGGGGUGCCUGGGCUGAGGGAGGCGAGUGCGCUGCAGCCAGGAAGAGUGCCGGUGGUGAAGAUUCUGACUCACCUCCCCCAAACCUCUUGGGGUGGCAGUGCCAUUUCCACAGAAGGUUUGCUGCCUCUUCCUUCCUUCUGUGGAAAACUGACCCAGGCCCAGAGAGACCCAGAGCUCCACGUGCAGCUCCGAGAACUCCAGCCCCUCCCCCACAGAGGCACAGGCCCAGGGCGAGUCGGGGUCCCACCCCCACCCCUACACUUAGACAUCCCGCCGCCGGCCCGUUCUCUCUGACUUCCUUCACGGCCUCUUCUAUACCAUGACUACAGCUUCUAACUUAAAAGUGAAAAUUAAAAAUUUGAAAA